This 331-nucleotide ribosomal RNA is filed under the name uncultured bacterium. RNAcentral describes it as "bacterial SSU rRNA". It matches the Rfam family "Bacterial small subunit ribosomal RNA", at positions 568 to 898 of the family's 1533-position model. The record is from RNAcentral.
UCCGUAGGCGGUGUGGCAAGUCGGAAGUGAAAUCUCUGGGCUUAACUCAGAGGCUGCUUCCGAAACUGCCGUGCUAGAGUGCGAGAGAGGCAAGUGGAAUUGCGGGUGUAGCGGUGAAAUGCGUAGAUAUCCGCAGGAACAUCCGAGGCGAAAGCGGCUUGCUGGAUCGCAACUGACGCUGAGGGACGAAAGCUAGGGGAGCAAACAGGAUUAGAUACCCUGGUAGUCCUAGCCCUAAACCAUCAGGACUUGGGGUUUGCCCUGUACGGGGCAACGUCCCGUAGCUAACGCGUUAAGUCCUGCGCCUGGGGAGUACGGUCGCAAGGCUGAA